RNAcentral lists this ribosomal RNA (406 nucleotides) under uncultured bacterium. RNAcentral's name for it is "partial 16S ribosomal RNA". It matches the Rfam family "Bacterial small subunit ribosomal RNA", at positions 361 to 774 of the family's 1533-position model. The record is from RNAcentral.
AUAUUGUGCAAUGGAGGGAACUCUGACGCAGUGACGCCGCGUGAGCGAUGAAGGUCUUCGGAUCGUAAAGCUCUGUCCUUUGGGAAGAAGAGCUUAGGAUUUGACGGUACCCAAGUAGGAUUCCACGGCUAACUACGUUCCAGUAGAAGCGGCAAUACGCAGGGGGCACGCGUGGUCCGGAAUUAUUGGGCGUAAAGGGUGCGUAGGCGGCCUUUUAAGUCAGAUGUGAAAGGCCACGGCUUAACCGUGGGGUUGCAUUUGAAACUGGAGGGCUUGAGUAUCGGAGAGGGUAGUGAAAUUCCCAGUGUAGCGGUGGAAUGCGUAGAUAUUGGGAGGAACACCAGUGGCGAAGGCGACUACCUGGACGAAAACUGACGCUGAUGCACGAAAGCUAGGGGAGCAAACA